UUUUUUUUAUUUUAUUUUUUUUAAUGACUCCUUUCCAAAACCGAGGAGGAAUAGAAAGAGAAAGGAGAUGAAUGACGCAUUUGGCCUUGAAAGGGGUUUCAUCAACAGCCGGCCGUCGCUCGCCGAGUGCCUGACGUCCCCCCGCGACCGGGAUGGCUUCCGGGCGGCCUCCGCCGCCACGUCGACGCCGACGAGGGGCUCCGGAAGCCCGCAGCGCGCCGGGGCACCGUCCGCCGCGCGGUACCCGUGGAUGAGGGAGAAGAAAAGCCGCAAGAGGCUGCAGACUCCUGCGGGCUCGUCCCCGCUGCAAGUUUCAUCCGAGAUAACAAGCGACGGCGAAUGUCCCGCGGCGUCCUGCAGGAGGCUGAGGACGGCGUACAGCAACACGCAACUCCUGGAGCUGGAGAAGGAGUUCCACUUCAACAAGUACCUGUGCAGACCCAGACGGCUGGAGAUCGCCUCCUCGCUGGAUGUGAGCGAGAAGCAGGUGAAAGUGUGGUUCCAGAACCGCAGGAUGAAGCACAAACGCCAGACGCACCUCAAAGAGAACCGGCGGAGCCAAUUCGCGGAGGACUUUUGGGAGGAGGCGGAGGUGCUACAGGCCAGGGGGGAGAGGUGUUUCCAGCAAAAUAUUUUCAACUCGCAACUCUCCCCGUGCGGCCACAACGGAGACAAUGACUCGUCUUCGUGCACGGGUGGGAAAAAUGCCAAAUAUCCUUCCAAUUGCACUCGCUCGGCUCCCGUCUGGGGGUCUAGCAAAGGCCCGGACGACGAUCCGACCCCCGGCGCGCGCGGGGAUCGUUCCCCGGGCGCGGCCGUCUCUUUGCGGGAACUUUCCUCAGGCGCGUGCCCGUUCUCGCCAGGCUGGCCCAGUUCUGCUCAAAGUCCGCUGGCGUUAUCGCCUGAAACCUUGGAACUCUUCUCCGAAACGCUCACAACUAUGGAAGCCCAAAACUUCAACUAUUGAGACGCUUGACUUUCAUUUGCAAUUUGUGUUGAUAAUCAAGGAGAAUUCCUUGAUCAGUGAUACAAAGAAGUGAGAUUCGCCUGUUUGGAGGCGAGGAGGGCAAAAGCUACGACUUUUCUCGUCUCUCUAAUUAAAUUUUAUUGCCUAUAAAACUCACAACGGACUGGCCGUCCUGUAAAGAGUACGACAACAGCACAGCGCAGCUUGCUCAACGAGGUAAAAAAAAGACCUUUGGUUAUUGCUAUGAUUUAGAUGGAGACCAGACUCUAUUAUAUGAUCAAUUUAUGCAGCAGUUUAAGAAAUUGCCACGGGUUCACCUGCUGUUUUCUCCCACUGUAAACAACAACGAAUUUGAUGCAACACUUUUCUGUUCCCCGGUAAACUGCAACCACGAUAAUAAAGCAUCUCUCGUCUCAAUCGAUCAUCAAUUUUCUAGCACGAGAACGCCACACAGGAGGCCCCACAUUCAAAUACGGGGACUCCUCGAAUGGGAGGCGACCACGCUAACCGCCGUAAAACGGCAAUAAGAGACAUUGUUAAAUAAAUACGGUUCCGCUGCGAGUCAGUAGCGAGCACGUUUGUGGCUCGUGAAUGUCGACAGAAAAGGAGCGAAAUGACAAAUUCAACAAUGGCUGUUUCCCCCAAAAAAUUGUACUGUCAUAUCAGUUUGCAGUGGCAUCAUAUUUCAACUUGUUUCUCUGAUUUUGAUCCCCUCUCAUAAAGUUAAAGGGGUAACCGAAACAUGCAGGUAAA
Molecule: RNA transcript, 1720 nt
Organism: Syngnathoides biaculeatus (alligator pipefish)
Lineage: Eukaryota; Metazoa; Chordata; Actinopteri; Syngnathiformes; Syngnathidae
Gene name: homeobox protein Hox-A2b-like
Exons: 4
Source: RefSeq, a predicted model, not a curated record